CAAGAGGCCCAGCAGUUUGCUAGUCACCACUGUGCCUACAGGCUGGGGCUCCUGGGAGGACUCGACUAGGCCAAUGAUGCCAAAUUAUGUUCUGGAACCUGUGCGCCCUAGUCUAUGCCUGCUGUCUGUUCACACCCAACUGAAUGACCAGUACUACCCAUGUGACCAAGAAGCACAGCAGUUUGUGGAAAAGGGGAACAUAGUUUCAAGACAUUGUCCUGCGUGGUGGAUACUGGGAAGGAUACACCUGGGCCGAUGAAAAGUGACACUCUGGAACCUGUGCACCCUCGUCUGCCCUUGCUGUCUAUUCACACCCGAUGCAAUGACAAGCACUGCCUGUGUGAUGUAUGCUGCCUGGCGGGUCACACUUGCAUCCUGGGUCCCAGUGUGUUUCAGAGCCUGCACCUGAGCUCCGGGCCUGGACAAGGAUACCUUGUUGGUACAACCAGAGCUCCCUCAGGGACUCCUUGGGUGAGACUCUUGCCACCACUCCUCUGAGCCAUGCCAGUGAUGGAAUGCUCAGCCAGGGUAAAGAUCCCAAACUUAGGCCUCUGGGGAAUAAAGGAGCAUUGAAAUUCCCAGGUGAGUGCAUGGUGGGGACCAGUAUCUUUGCUAUGGAUCUGAGUGUCAGUGCAGGUCAUCCAAAGCAAAUCUAAGGGGUGGAUCCACAGAAACACAGGAGAGUUGACUCAUGCUGUACUCAAGAGCAAGGUGUGCCCAUUUGUGCUCUGAGGUCCAGAAUGCAUUGCUUGAACCCCUGGCCAGGUUUGGGAGCCAACUAAGGGGAUGGCAAGGUUCCUGGGGGAUGGUUCUCAUCCUAAGUGAGAUUAGCAGCUCUGAGUUGCCUUGCUCAUUUGUCCAGUUGUCAUGGAACACUAGGGGUCAGGUAUUUGUGUGGGUGCAGGAUUCAGAUUCACUAGGAGGUCUUGGAUGAGGCUACACCAUGCAGGGACAGAGGUUUGGUUGGGUAGCAGGCCCUGCAUGUUCCUGGCUGCCUGGAAGCUUUAUAUGGGUCACUAGGACACUGGAGCCAUGAUUCAGGGACACUGACCAGUACCCAGUUAUGUGGGUGCCAAAACCUUGCCCAGGACACCUGCCAGAUGGUGUAAGUCACACCAUAUCCAUACGGCUUGUCUUGUCUAAGGUCUAGCCUUUGCUGGCCACAUGGGUGGACUUUUGACUGAGUUGAUCUCAGCAAGAAUGUCAGGGCUCCUCCUAGGGCCCCUGAUUCUGCUCCUUCUAGGGAGGCAAAAAAAAAUGGUAUGGGUGAGCUGCAGUCCAGCCCAAUACCGGUCCCCCAUCUUUGCAAUAUAUACAGGACUGCAGUAGCCCAUGACCAUAGGAGGAAUGUGUCUCAGGUGCACACUUUCUGAACUCUGAGAAUCCAUUGUGUAUAUGCAACCAGCAUGUAAGCUCCCAGGCCUAAACGGAGAUGUCUUGUUAUUAGGACCAGGGCACCACUAGGGUCUCUUUGGGUGUGUCUCAUGUGACCAGUCCCCUGAGCCCAGUUCCUUGCCACUGCUUGAUUAUCUAGCCCAGGUCCUGCUGAAUCCUGGGUACUGGGGUCAGGAAGGAGCUUUAGGGGAAGCUGGCUCCAGGAGGGCAACCUGGUCUGAGUAACCCUCUCUGGACCACUGACCAACAGACCCAGUAGUUUUCAGGCAAGGUGUGGGGCUUUUCCAUCCCCGGCACACCUAUAGAGGUGGCUUCAUGGUAGGCCUCACCUGGGCCAAUGGUGCCAACAUAUGCUGUGGAACCAGUGCAUCCUGGCCUGCACCAGCUGUGUGUUCACAGUUCCUCCCAGUCCCACAGAUGAUGUUACCAGAGGAAGCCUACAUGUGUUCCAGUGCCCUAGAAGCAAGGACUGUUGUCAUGGCCCCAGCAGCCUAAGAGUUCAUUCUUCCAGCUCAUUUUCCAUUAGAAAAGGAGAUGUCUGCAACUGCUUGUGAUAAGCCAGAAAUCUGUGCCUUGGAGUUGAGAUGGCACCAGGGUCUUCUAGUGCUGUGGUUCCUGUGGUUGGGUCAAUGAUGAGACCUCUUACUGUUUUUUUGUUUGUCUGUUAGUUUUUUAACUUUUAUAACUUUUAUUUAAUAAAUAUAAAUUUCCAAAGUACAGCUUAUGGAUUACAAUGGCUUUUCCCCCCCAAUAACUUCCCUCCCACCCGCAACCCUCCCAUCUCCCGCUCCCUCUCCCAUUCCAUUCACAUCAA
Molecule: non-coding RNA, 2209 nt
Organism: Oryctolagus cuniculus (rabbit)
Lineage: Eukaryota; Metazoa; Chordata; Mammalia; Lagomorpha; Leporidae
Source: RefSeq, a predicted model, not a curated record